CGAGUGGCGCACGGGUGCGUAACACGUAUGCAACCUACCCUUAACAGGGGGAUAGCCCGGAGAAAUCCGGAUUAAUACCCCAUAGUAUUUUCAUUUCGCAUGUUAUGAAGAUUAAAGCUUCGGUGGUUAAGGAUGGGCAUGCGGGACAUUAGUUUGUUGGUGAGGUAACGGCUCACCAAGACUACGAUGUCUAGGGGUUCUGAGAGGAUGAUCCCCCACACUGGUACUGAGAUACGGACCAG
This 242-nucleotide ribosomal RNA is filed under the name uncultured bacterium. RNAcentral describes it as "partial 16S ribosomal RNA". It matches the Rfam family "Bacterial small subunit ribosomal RNA", at positions 92 to 334 of the family's 1533-position model. The record is from RNAcentral.